Molecule: ribosomal RNA, 253 nt
Filed under: uncultured bacterium
Lineage: Bacteria
Description: partial 16S ribosomal RNA
Rfam family: Bacterial small subunit ribosomal RNA
Source: RNAcentral
UACGUAGGGUGCGAGCGUUGUCCGGAAUUAUUGGGCGUAAAGAGCUUGUAGGCGGUUUGUCGCGUCUGCUGUGAAAUUUCGGGGCUCAACCCCGAACUUGCAGUGGGUACGGGCAGACUAGAGUGUGGUAGGGGAGACUGGAAUUCCUGGUGUAGCGGUGGAAUGCGCAGAUAUCAGGAGGAACACCGAUGGCGAAGGCAGGUCUCUGGGCCAUUACUGACACUGAGAAGCGAAAGCAUGGGGAGCGAACAGG